This 801-nucleotide ribosomal RNA is filed under the name uncultured bacterium. RNAcentral describes it as "bacterial SSU rRNA". It matches the Rfam family "Bacterial small subunit ribosomal RNA", at positions 8 to 804 of the family's 1533-position model. The record is from RNAcentral.
AGAGUUUGAUCCUGGCUCAGAUUGAACGCUGGCGGCAGGCCUAACACAUGCAAGUCGAGCGGAUGAAGGGAGCUUGCUCCUGGAUUCAGCGGCGGACGGGUGAGUAAUGCCUAGGAAUCUGCCUGGUAGUGGGGGAUAACGUCCGGAAACGGGCGCUAAUACCGCAUACGUCCUGAGGGAGAAAGUGGGGGAUCUUCGGACCUCACGCUAUCAGAUGAGCCUAGGUCGGAUUAGCUAGUUGGUGGGGUAAAGGCCUACCAAGGCGACGAUCCGUAACUGGUCUGAGAGGAUGAUCAGUCACACUGGAACUGAGACACGGUCCAGACUCCUACGGGAGGCAGCAGUGGGGAAUAUUGGACAAUGGGCGAAAGCCUGAUCCAGCCAUGCCGCGUGUGUGAAGAAGGUCUUCGGAUUGUAAAGCACUUUAAGUUGGGAGGAAGGGCAGUAAGUUAAUACCUUGCUGUUUUGACGUUACCAACAGAAUAAGCACCGGCUAACUUCGUGCCAGCAGCCGCGGUAAUACGAAGGGUGCAAGCGUUAAUCGGAAUUACUGGGCGUAAAGCGCGCGUAGGUGGUUCAGCAAGUUGGAUGUGAAAUCCCCGGGCUCAACCUGGGAACUGCAUCCAAAACUACUGAGCUAGAGUACGGUAGAGGGUGGUGGAAUUUCCUGUGUAGCGGUGAAAUGCGUAGAUAUAGGAAGGAACACCAGUGGCGAAGGCGACCACCUGGACUGAUACUGACACUGAGGUGCGAAAGCGUGGGGAGCAAACAAGAUUAGAUACCCUGGUAGUCCACGCCGUA